GCAGAAACAGCAUGUUUCUAGUCUCAAACCUCUUUCACAGGACAAUCCUCCAUUCAACAUCACAAUGGCUUCUUCUCUCCUAAGGGCUAAAGCCCAAGUCCUUACCUAGGUAUCCAGGCCUUCCAUCACCUGAUCCCUGAACAGCGCUCCAGGCUCACCUCUCCUGUCCCAGCCACGCCCAAUCAUUUGUAGCAGCCCGCCCCCCACCCAUGUCAAGCCCUUAUUUCCUCUGUGUCUUUGCUCACGCUGGCCCCUCUGCGAGAAACCUGUCUUUUUCCUACUCUUCUCCUGGCUAACAUUCAUCCUCUAAAACAGAGACUGUACAUACGUGGAGCUGACUGCCACUCCCCCAAGGGGUAUCCGUGGAAGAUAUUGCUAAGAGACUGUGGCAUUCUUUCCUGCUGGGCCAAAACUGGGCCUCAAAAAUCCAUCUCAGAAAAGUGACUGUGAUAGCCUCUCCCUACUGAUUGCCACUGGUGCACAAAAUGAAACUGGUGUGUGGUUUCAGGAUAUGACACCACCACCUACUGCGAGCUAUUCCCUGGUCAUCUGCCCUAUUCCUCCAGAGAUGGGGGCUGUCUGUGCUCCCAUAGCCCUGUGCAUAAUCCAUAACUCAUCUAGGAACUGAGGCGCCUAGACUAUUAUGAUCUUCAAGAUUCCUUUCAACUCAAAAUCUUCAUGAUUUAAAGGUAAAUGUCGUAACCCUCUCUUCUCACCAAAUCAUUCAAAUCUGUUUUGGAUAAUUAUGUGUAAUCCUAUUAACUGACCAUAAACACAAUGACUAAUAGCAUAUUGGGGAUACACAUUCCAUAAACCACAUGUCCAGGAAGUAAGUAGUAUAUUAGGUCAUUGUGGGAAACCCACUAAUUCUUUCUGGUCUCCAAAGGGACUACUCAGAAGAAGUUCGUUUUAGCAACAAAGAGACUGUUCUAUUAGGAAUACGAAGAGUUAAUUCUCCCCAAACUUUAUUGCCUUUCCGAAGAUACAAGUUUUAAGAAAAAUAAAAACCUUUCAACACCCAAAUCCCAUACCCAUAAGUUAAACUGAAACCCUUGAAAGGGAACCACAAAUCUUUUAUAAUAAAAAUGACGCAGACAUCCUAAGAAAAACAAACAUCCCCAAAAUAAACAAUAACAACAAACAAACUUAUGAGCAAAACUGAAAGCAGUCAUAAAAAGCUUUUUGAUAUUUUUCUUUGGUGAUUUUAUCACAAUAUAUUGGUUCAAUUAGAGUAGACAAAAUCUCUAGAGGCUUUAAAAAAAAAAAAAAGGUAGGAUGUACCUCAGCAAUAAUAAAGUUCCAAAUCAUGACAGGCAAAAUUCCAAUAAGAAGAAUGAAUGAGCAAUAAGAUUCUUCUAUAUUUUCUAAUCUUGAAAUAUAGACAUAUAUUGCAUAAUAAUAAUAAUAUUUAAUGAGAUAGUUAUAGAGGAUGGUGGUUAGAAACAUGGAUUCAAGCCUAAAACCAUAAUACAGCCGCACAACUUACUAGCUGCACAGCCUUAAGCAAGUCACUAAACCUCUCUGUGUCUCAAUUUCCUCACAGGUAAAUCAGAGACAAAAAUAGUAGUUCUAUCAGAGAGCUAUUGUGACAAAUAAAUGAGCCAAUACAUGCAAUACAUGUAAAGGGCUGGCACAUAAAAGUCAGAUAUAACUAUUUCAUAAUUAUAUAAUAAACAACCACCACUAUAGAAUCAAGCCUGACUUUUUAGAAAAACCUAAGGAAAAAAAAAGGAACUUUACAUUCACCCAGUUCUCUGCUGGUUAUCUGUUCUGCUAUGGAGCUCAUGUCCAGUAGGGAAGUAGAGCAAGCCACUCCAGUGAGGUCCACCCAUGCCCUUUGCCCUUUGAGUCUGGGGCUGAUCCUUCUGUCUCCUGACACUGAGGCAGAUUUGGGGAUUAGGGCUCUUCCCCAGCAGCCUCUUAUCCCAAAGGGUAAGAGAAGCAGCUCACAGCAAUUGCUCCCCUGCCUCCCCUGUGUCUGAUUUUUAGCUUUUAGCACCUCCUCCUCUCAAUAGUAGUCCAAAUAUGGUUCUGUUUUCUAUUAGUUUCCCUUCUUGCCUCUGGUUUUGAUUCUGAUCCUCCAAAGAUAAUGAGAAGCAUAACAACACUCAUUUUGCAGUGAGGAAUGCUUUCCCCACUGGAUUCAAGAUAUCUUUUGUUCUCUAAUAUCUCAGGCUUCCUUCUACCUGUUCUUAUUAGAGAGUCCUGGCCAAUCAUUCAGUCUCCCUUCUUUUCACUCUAUGUAUUCCCUCUAGAAAAUCAUACUCAUUCCUGUGUUCCACUCACCAUCUAUCUGAUGACAAGUCAUAAAUCUCUACCUCCAACCCAGAUCUUUCCUCUGAGCUUCAGACCCAUCCACAAUUGGUUAUCCUAUAUUUUCAACUGCUUCUCCAACUAAAUAUGUCCAAAACUGAACUAUUCAUCCUGCCUUCAAACCCUCACUUUCCCUGUAUUCCUUAGCAUGGUGGGCCACCACCCACACCACUGGCCAAGUCAGAAACCUGGGAUUCAACCUGGAGCCUCCUUCUCUUAUGUCAUACACAUAAUAAAUAUGAAAUCCCAUCUACUUUACCUUCCAUACCAUUAUUAACCAAUAAAAAGAAAUGUAUUCCUGGACAACAAUUUACCAAAACCACUAUUCCCUAUGUCAAAGAUUUAAUUAUGCUGAUGAAAUAAUUUCUUCUUGAUGAGACUCAAGCCAGCCAAGUGGUUUUGUACUCCUCAUCAUCAUCCUGUAGAUGAGAUGAAUUAUCUGCCUCUUCCUCCAAAUCCUUUCCACUUCUCCAUCUAAAGUGAGAAAGAUAGGAAGCUUAAUCCCAACUUAGCCUUUUGCUAGCCCCAUUCCUACUAACACUUAUUUAUAUUUUUUUUGCCAAUUAAAACUUCCCUGAAUUGUGGCCAUAUCAAUCAGAGGAAAGACAGGAGGACAAAUCCAAUCUAGCCCUUACGUUUUCACAUCAUUUUCUUUUAAGGCAUGGAGAUAUUCCUUGUUACACAGCACUCAUUUUUUUUUCCAUAUACCUCCAGCCAUAAAACAUACACACACACAAAAAUGACAGAGGCUAACCCUAAAACCGAUGGAAAAAGAUACUUAGACAAUGUGAUCCAUCCAUCCAACCUACCCACUGAUCAUUCUUGCAAAAUGGCCAAUGCCAUCAUUCAGGGACUGACUUUCCACUUCAUAUACGACCAAAUACUUACCAUGUUUUUCCCUUAUCUUGCUGUCUGUUAGCCAAUUUUCCUUAUCCCUUGACUACCUCCACCAGAAAGUGUGAUUAAAAACUUAAAAUUUAAAGGCCAAACAGUCCAUCUCACUACUGUUUUAUAACUCUGAUAAAGAUUUGGUGAGGUUGAAAUUCCGUCUCAGGGGAUUUCAAUUAUCUCUGCCUUUGAGGGCUAACUAUCAUUACAGCUAGUGAUACGCCAUGGACAGCUCACCUCCCAUCUCCCCAGUGUGGGGCAAACUAAUUAUUCUAUUUCCAAUUGAACAACAAAACUUGCUUUCCCUUCUUCCCCAGGCCCCUUUCUUUCUCCACUGAAGAGUACAAACAGCCAAAACAAGGAAGCCCUUAAAUAACAAAGAGUGAAAUGUGCUUUUAAACAUAACAGGAAACCUUACCAGAUCUCUCUUCCUGCCUCCUUCUAGCUAGCCUGGUCUGAGGCAGAUAAUAAUACAGGAAUGUUGACAUGUCCAAAGCCUACAUAAACAAACUGGGACAUUCUUGAAGUCUUGCAUCUAUGGCAGAAAAGCUUGCCUAAUCCCCAAAGUAGGUAAAAAUCAACAUGGGCAUAGAGAAAUACCACAUCCCUUUCCAUAUGGUUAUAUAUUGAUGCAGAAAUGAAUAUCCCACUUCCAGUUUCUUGAGGGAGGCAGAGCCUGUCCAGAUAACAAUUUGUGAACAAGUAAUUUGGCUUUACAGUCAACAGUGUCAACAAUACCUUCUGAGGCACAGGGUAACAGAGAGUUUUAAGUGCCAUUUAAAGAGGUUAUGCAAUAGCUGUCAAGAAAUUUCAGAGGAAAAAAAAUAUUUGGUAUCUAGGUUAAGUUAAUAUCACACUUCCUCUCUUCUAAAUCUCCUUGGAAACUAUUAUUUGACCCAAAUGAGUCAGAUAAUUUCUUAAGGAGGGCUCCAGCUGCAAAUAUGAGGAUAUGCAUUGUGCUAACUGUUUGCUGCUGAGUGCUGAUUGGGGAGUGAAAAGCCACCAGCAGCCCGAGGGAAAGUCCCAGUUUAGGGGAGAGGCAAAAAUUGAGUGGCAGCACUGUGGCAACCCCAGUGAGCUGGAAGAGCACAGGGAAUCUCAGCAAGAGGCUAUGUGGAGGAUGGUUCUCAUUCCUUGGGGGAGGGAUCCUGAAAAAGUACAGUUGCUGUCUUCCAAUCAAGGAAUGGACAAGCAAGAUUUUUCCUAACGCCAGUGAGAAAAUCUAUACCAGUCUGAGAGAUGGAGAACAGGCCUUGCUCUGGGUAUAUUCUAAUCACCUUUGAUGAAACAUACUCCGGCAUAAGAUGAGCCAGCGUGUGGCACCUGGCAUUUCAUUAAACAAUUGCACUGACUUAGAGGAUGCCCAGGAACCCAGACCACUACAUACACCAAAUCUCUUUUCUGAAAAUCCAUGGAGAAAUUUUUCCAGGUAAAGCUGUGUUUCAUCUGGAGCAAUCAUUUUGUUUUUACUUUAUAGAUACUAUAAAUCUGUCGUAUGUUAAACUUUUUGCUUGUGUUUAGCAUAUAACACAUGCUCACUAAAUAUCUGCUAAUGAAUGAGUGAAUUAAUAAAUUUUCUCCAUGCUCUGACCACUAAGCUGAGAGAAAAAUGUAAUACUUCAUCAAUUAAUUGCUAUAGGCAGGCCUGAUGGCACACUUUGAGUACUGACUCUAUCCCUGGCUUCACCUUUAUUUUCUGGGGUUAAUUUUAUCUUCAUUCGUUUUACCCUAUAAGCCAUUUACAUCCUUUCCUGGAAAAACAAGACGGGAUAAAAAUGUUUAAGAUUUGAUUAUAAAUUUCCACAAUUUAUGUUGACACUAUAGCCUUGGCUAAGAUGGCCUUACACUUACCUGUUUUCAAUUCCUGUUCUCUCAUCCCCUCAAAACAAUUAAGGUUGAAUUGUGGACAAAUUUUCUAUUUCAAAAUGUAUUACUAAUUUACUUUGACUCUACUAUCAAACUGGUUCUUCUUCAAAAGCAGAGAUGUUACAGUAUCUUAUUUUCACCUUUGUAUGUUUACAAGACAGCUGGAUCAAUGUGGAUGAGGUUUUUUCGUAGAGUUAGUAUCAUUUUGGAAAAUGGAUGAGAAAGACAUACAAAUUUAAAAUUAUGAAAAAAGGCUAAAUGCUAAUUUAGAUCUAAUUUAGAUUCUCUGGAGAAUUACAGCAUGGGUAAAAUAUGAAAGGCUUUAUUUAAACUAAAAUGUGGCUUCAGGAGUGAUUUAGGUGUGUUGUAGCAAAACAGAGAGAAGGGGAAUGAUGAACUCCUGGGUGUUCUGUUAUCUCAUUUAACAUCAGAAUUCUCUUCCCAGUGAAAUGAAAACUAUUCUUCCUCUAUUACAUGCCUUCCCAGGACCAACAGAGAUGGGUUCUAGCAGCAUACAUUUAAUUCAUUAUCUCUGAAACUAGACUUAGUUCAUGCCAGGACCAUUUUCUGCCCUGUUUUAUUUCCUCUGCUUUCUUUCAACCUACAGGUUCACGCCACAAAACAAAAUUACAAUUCUGAGACAUUUUUGGUAAAAAUUUUCCUUACCGGGAUCAUAAUUUUAUUUUUUUUAUCCUUAAUUCCCUCCCAUAUUUACCACAAAAAUGUAAAUUCACGCUAUAAAUAUCACACAUGUGCAUACUGUGCAAAAAAAUACAAAUGGGCAGUAAGAGGAAGGGAGUAAGUAAGGAGGAAAAGUUACCAUGGAUGCUGUUAAGUUAAAUAUAACACCUCCUCCUCUACGAGGCCGUCCAAAUAUUUUGAUCUACUUUUUAUAGACUCUUAUUUUAAAAAUAGAUGGACCAUUGAUUGACAGUAAGUUUUUUCUUAUAAAGAUAUUAUGCUAUAAAAUAUGUAUGGCAACGGGAUUUGAUAUUCAACUCUCUGAGGAUGAUAUUUAAUGCUGACACUCCUAUCUCCCAAAGAGCUCACGCUGGCCCCAAACAAGGGGCUCCAAAGGGUUAUGGAAAACGACCUGGAGAGUUAGAUAUGCUGACAACGAAGGAUAUCCAGGAUUCCUUGUGGAGCGAAAAAAGGAAAAUGCACAGGAUGAACAACAUGAUCUCAUUUGUGUAAAAGCAAAACAAGAAAGCACCUAUGUAACUGUGAGAAAGCUGUUUUUAUCUGUCCAGUGUGUCUCUCUCCCAAGCCCUAUCUCCUUUCUGAUCCUGUCUUCUUGCCUAUGGGGAACCUUGUAUGUUUUGGAGUGAACUGACUCCAUCUUCCCCCCAGGCUGAGCAUGUAACUAAGUCCUGGCCAAUCAGUGAAAUCCUGACUGUUUGGUGAGACGUGUCAGGAAUGCCUUGUUCCUUCCCCUGAGGUUGCUCGGCUGGUGAUGCUGACAGAGCCAGACUGCUGUCAUGAGGAAAAUGCCUGAAUGUGAAGCAAGCAGAAGCAGGAUCAAGAACCACAGACAGAGGCCUGAUGGGGCUCGUUGAACCCCUGCAGCCAGCUGCUCUUAAUUACCCAAUUCAUGGUAUUAGCUUUUCAGUGUGUGUUGGAGGGUGGGGGAGAGUCUUAACUGGGUUUAAGCUGUAUUUCUGCAAUUCUCUGUGGAAAAUUUCCUGACACAAGAAUACUAAAAGAGCGAUGCAACGUGACUGGCUUUGAGAAUGGAUGGAAGGAGCCAAGAGCCAAGGAAUGCAGGCAGCUUCCAGAAGCUGGAAAAGGCGCGCACUCUCCCUAAAGGUUCCAGGAAGGAAUGCAGCCCUGCGGACCCAUACUGGACUCCUACCUACAGAACUGUAAGCCACCAAAAGCAAUUUCCUAAUACAGAAAGAUGUCAAAAGUUUCUAGAAGGAUCCCACAGUGUUAUCUCUGUGAAAUGGAAAUGGGGGUGGGAGAUGAAAGGGAAGUGUUUUAUAACAUUUUAAACAACAAAUAUAUAUUAUGUUCAUUAGUUUGAAAAACUAAUUUUAAACAUGUUUAAGAAUAGAACCUGACAAAUAUCUAAGAAUCACAGGUAUUGUAACCCACCCAGGAGACUCCAAAUAGGGCUGCUUUACACAUCUAACAGGGCAGCAUCAAUUUGGUCUCUGAGGAAUUCAGCAUCUGAAUUGUCUUAUUUAACACAAGGAGUCAGCCCCUCAGCCAGCACACCCCACUGCACACCACAUACCCAGUUAAACCAGGAUCCCACCAGAAGGCUUUCCCCUACCGUCCCCUGCAGGAGCCAGGACAGAACUCUCAGACAUGUUCUUAGAGCUGAUUUUGGAGACAGGGCUGGGGAGGCACUGAAGAGAAGCCAGAAUAGUAAUUGGCCUGCGAUUACAAUUUAGCAUACUUUUCAAUAGAAACCCAACAAAUUGCCAACAAAUUGCUAUGCUAAUGAAGAAUUGCCCUGCUCUGCAAUGAGCAUUUAUCAUGAGAGAAAGGACAACCCAUUCACGCCACUCUGUAGAACUAGCUGCCAUUCGGGAGGUCUCCUGCUGAAUUUUAAAAGGCUUCACGUAGGGAAAAGGGGAAAGCAUGAGAUGAGAGUUGGCUGUGUUCUCUCCAGUCUUUCUCUUAUCCAGUGCUUAAGAUACAAUGCCAGGGAGCAAGUUGGUGUAGCGUGCCUGCCAAUUGUGGCUUUCUACUAAUGAAUGCCCAGCACAGAGGCUACAUGCAGUAGAGUCAUCAAGAAGUUCAAGAAGUUUUUAAAAAAGAAAAAUAUCUGCACUCCCCCCAACUUCCAUAACUGACAAAUAAGCAAAUGGUGGUUCUCACAUUGAACACACACCUUUUCUAAAUUCUCUUUGCUUUACUUGGACAAGAAAAGUAAGUCUGACACAUUCUGCCAAGCUUAGGGAAAAGACAGUCCACUUGGCUACAUACAGAAUUCUUUGAUCUGUCUCAAAGUGAUGUCUCAGAGGGAAAUGCCCAGAGGACAAUGCCAACAGAUCAACACAGCCCAAACCACUUCACUGCUGUUUCACCUGCCAUUCAUCAGGCGUGAUGGGGAGAGAGAGGAACAGCCAUCUGUUCCACACACACUUCUCCUUCAAACUAACAGGAAAUUUAUAUUUUGAUUUUCUUUAUCCCCCUUCCUUUCCACCUUCCUCUUCUUAGUCCAAAAAGGAUAUGGCAUACAAAAAAUUAGCUGGGCAUGGUGGCUACUGUAAUCCCAGCUACUCAGGAGGCUGAGGCAGGAGAAUUGCUUGAACCUGGGAGGCAGAGGUUGCAGUGAGCCAAGAUCGCCCCACUGCACUCCAGCCUGGGCAACAGGGCAAGACUCCUCAAAAAAAAAAAAAAAAAGAUAUGGCUAGAGGGGUGAAGAAAAAUACCAAGGCAGAGGCCUAGUCCAAAGUAAAAUGUUUAAGGGAUCUUAACAAUAUUGUAAUGAUCAGUUGCUUAACUGUGUGACAGAAAUACUAAUAGUAAUUUGAGUAACAUGACAAAACAUACAACGCAUUUACCUAAAUACAGCUCUCAAUCUUUAUAACUUGUGACAUGUAUAAGGCAGAUAUUUUGCCUUGUUUUACUGAUGAAAGAAAGAGAAUAAACAUGUCAUUCUUA
This 8682-nucleotide long non-coding RNA is filed under the name Homo sapiens (human). Its description in RNAcentral is "HSALNT0320409". Lineage: Eukaryota; Metazoa; Chordata; Mammalia; Primates; Hominidae. The record is from RNAcentral.